UACGGGGGGAGCAAGCGUUGUUCGGAUUUACUGGGCGUAAAGGGCGCGUAGGCGGUCAGCACAAGUCAGUUGUGAAAUCUCCGGGCUUAACUCGGAAAGGUCAACUGAUACUGUGCGACUAGAGUGCAGAAGGGGCAACUGGAAUUCUCGGUGUAGCGGUGAAAUGCGUAGAUAUCGAGAGGAACACCAGUGGCGAAGGCGGUUACCUGGAGCUUUGCUGACGCUGAUGCGCGAAAGCGUGGGGAGCGAUCCGG
Molecule: ribosomal RNA, 254 nt
Filed under: uncultured bacterium
Lineage: Bacteria
Description: partial 16S ribosomal RNA
Rfam family: Bacterial small subunit ribosomal RNA
Source: RNAcentral